GAUGAAGAACGCAGCGAAAUGCGAUAAGUAAUGUGAAUUGCAGAAUUCAGUGAAUCAUCGAAUCUUUGAACGCACAUUGCGCCCCCUGGUAUUCCGGGGGGCAUGCCUGUUCGAGCGUCAUUUCACCACUCAAGCCUCGCUUGGUAUUGGGCAACGCGGUCCGCCGCGUGCCUCAAAUCGACCGGCUGGGUCUUCUGUCCCUAAGCGUUGUGGAAACUAUUCGCUAAAGGGUGUUCGGGAGGCUACGCCGUAAAACAACCCCAUUUCUAAGGUUGACCUCGGAUCAGGUAGGGAUACCCGCUGAACUUAAGCAUAUCAAUAAGCGGAGGA
Molecule: unclassified non-coding RNA, 330 nt
Filed under: soil metagenome
Description: partial contains 5.8S ribosomal RNA, internal transcribed spacer 2, and large subunit ribosomal RNA
Rfam family: 5.8S ribosomal RNA (bases 1-120)
Source: RNAcentral